RNAcentral lists this ribosomal RNA (474 nucleotides) under uncultured bacterium. RNAcentral describes it as "bacterial SSU rRNA". It matches the Rfam family "Bacterial small subunit ribosomal RNA", at positions 335 to 799 of the family's 1533-position model. The record is from RNAcentral.
ACUCCUACGGGAGGCAGCAGUGGGGAAUAUUGCACAAUGGGCGCAAGCCUGAUGCAGCCAUGCCGCGUGUGUGAAGAAGGCCUUCGGGUUGUAAAGCACUUUCAGUCGUGAGGAAGGUAGUGUAGUUAAUAGCUGCAUUAUUUGACGUUAGCGACAGAAGAAGCACCGGCUAACUCCGUGCCAGCAGCCGCGGUAAUACGGAGGGUGCGAGCGUUAAUCGGAAUUACUGGGCGUAAAGCGCAUGCAGGUGGUUUGUUAAGUCAGAUGUGAAAGCCCGGGGCUCAACCUCGGAAUUGCAUUUGAAACUGGCAGACUAGAGUACUGUAGAGGGGGGUAGAAUUUCAGGUGUAGCGGUGAAAUGCGUAGAGAUCUGAAGGAAUACCGGUGGCGAAGGCGGCCCCCUGGACAGAUACUGACACUCAGAUGCGAAAGCGUGGGGAGCAAACAGGAUUAGAUACCCGUGGUAGGAUAGCG